UCCGGAAUUGCAUUUCUCCUCUCUCUAGUGGAUCUCCUUAAUGGCACUUCAGUUUCUUGAGGUUGUUGAGUUUGAUUUUCAUUAGUAAUAUCAGGAACUGGAUUGGGGAGAUUUUUGAGAUUGUCUUGAACUGGAGUUGUGUGAUCCAUGUCAGAAAUAAGAACACCCUGACCAAGAUCAACAACUUGAGGGAAAGACACAUGUUCUUCCUCAAAGAC
This 218-nucleotide long non-coding RNA is filed under the name Nicotiana benthamiana. RNAcentral describes it as "long non-coding RNA (NBEN_LNC020045)". Lineage: Eukaryota; Viridiplantae; Streptophyta; Magnoliopsida; Solanales; Solanaceae. The record is from RNAcentral.